Molecule: ribosomal RNA, 406 nt
Filed under: uncultured bacterium
Lineage: Bacteria
Description: partial 16S ribosomal RNA
Rfam family: Bacterial small subunit ribosomal RNA
Source: RNAcentral
AUUGAACGCUGGCGGCAGGCCCAACACAUGCAAGUCGAACGAGUGGCGGACGGGUGAGUAAUGUCUGGGAAACUGCCCGAUGGAGGGGGAUAACUACUGGAAACGGUAGCUAAUACCGCAUACCAUCGGAUGUGCCCACAUGGGAUUAGCUAGUAGGUGGGGUAAGGGCUCACCUAGGCGACGAUCCCUAGCUGGUCUGACAGGAUGACCAGCAACACUGGAACUGAGACACGGUCCGGAGUCCUCCGGGAGGCGGCAGUGGGGAAUAUUGCGCAAUGGGCGCAGGCCUGAGGCAGCCAUGCCGCGUGUAUGAAGAAGGCCUUCGGGUUGUAAAGUACUUUCAGCGGGGAGGCGUUACUCGCAGAAGAAGCACCGGCUAACUCCGUGCCAGUAGCCGCGGUAAUUC